GUGUCCGAACAGUCUGUGGUUGGUUAGCUGCUUCCAGCUAAUGACAGGUGCUGAAUCAGGUUCAUUGGGAACAUUUCCAUGAAUGGGAAAGGGGGAGUUACAACAUUGCCCCUCCCAAGCCAACAGAAUGCAGAAAGUACAAGGAGCCUUCUGCCCCUCUGCCUCUCUCGACCCCUGCUAACGGAUGACGCAGCAGAAAUCGACUGGCAGCUCGAAACCGGGCUGGGUGACUUUAAAAAUGGCUUCAAGAAGUCACCUACUGAAACUUCUGCUGCAAGCAGCAGCCUGAGGAUGUGGUUAGGCUGCCCUGUAUCUCACCAGCAGGGCUAUUAAAUGCUAUUUGCUGCAUUGGAGAUAUAAUUAAUGGGAAAGCAGUGAAGAACUGAAAAGUCAAAAACUUUCAGCUCAAGAUGUUACUUACAAAACAGCCUUUGAGUCAUGCCACAUGAUGUUACACAGACUGGAGUCAGGGAUAAAAGAUCAUUACUGUAUUAGGUAAUAAAUACGCUUCCAACUUCUUAUGUCAUGUUGAAGAGGCAUUUGCUCCUCAGCACGAGCUUGGUAUAUAUCCUGUCAUUUUCUUGUAUUUUGUUAGAUAUAUGAUUUUUCUUCUUGUAUAAGUC
Long non-coding RNA from Amblyraja radiata (thorny skate), 623 nucleotides. RefSeq lists it as uncharacterized. The record is from RefSeq and is a predicted model, not a curated record. The transcript has 2 exons. NCBI's taxonomy places the organism in Eukaryota, Metazoa, Chordata, Chondrichthyes, Rajiformes, Rajidae.